CAUGUCCUACGGGGGGCAGCAGUAGGGAAUUUUCGUCAAUGGGCGCAAGCCUGAACGAGCGAUGCCGCGUGAGUGAAGAAGGCCUUCGGGUCGUAAAGCUCUGUUGCGGGGGAAAAAAGGCAGCAUCAGGAAAUGGGUGCUGACUGAUGGUGCCCCGCCAGAAAGUCACGGCUAACUACGUGCCAGCAGCCGCGGUAAUACGUAGGUGGCGAGCGUGAUCCGGAAUGAUGGGGCGUAAAGGGUGCGCAGGCGGUCAUGCAAGUCUGGAGAGAA
Molecule: ribosomal RNA, 273 nt
Filed under: uncultured bacterium
Lineage: Bacteria
Description: partial 16S ribosomal RNA
Rfam family: Bacterial small subunit ribosomal RNA
Source: RNAcentral